AGUGAACGCUGGCGGCAGGCCUAACACAUGCAAGUCGAACGAACUCUUCGGAGUUAGUGGCGGACGGGUGAGUAACACGUGGGAACGUGCCUUUAGGUUCGGAAUAACUCAGGGAAACUUGUGCUAAUACCGAAUGUGCCCUUCGGGGGAAAGAUUUAUCGCCUUUAGAGCGGCCCGCGUCUGAUUAGCUAGUUGGUGAGGUAAAGGCUCACCAAGGCGACGAUCAGUAGCUGGUCUGAGAGGAUGAUCAGCCACAUUGGGACUGAGACACGGCCCAAACUCCUACGGGAGGCAGCAGUGGGGAAUCUUGCGCAAUGGGCGAAAGCCUGACGCAGCCAUGCCGCGUGAAUGAUGAAGGUCUUAGGAUUGUAAAAUUCUUUCACCGGGGACGAUAAUGACGGUACCCGGAGAAGAGGCCCCGGCUAACUUCGUGCCAGCCGCCGCGGUAA
Molecule: ribosomal RNA, 449 nt
Filed under: uncultured bacterium
Lineage: Bacteria
Description: partial 16S ribosomal RNA
Rfam family: Bacterial small subunit ribosomal RNA
Source: RNAcentral